RNAcentral lists this ribosomal RNA (445 nucleotides) under uncultured bacterium. RNAcentral describes it as "bacterial SSU rRNA". It matches the Rfam family "Bacterial small subunit ribosomal RNA", at positions 354 to 796 of the family's 1533-position model. The record is from RNAcentral.
GUGAGGAAUAUUGGUCAAUGGCCGAGAGGCUGAACCAGCCAAGUCGCGUGAAGGAUGAAGGAUCUAUGGUUUGUAAACUUCUUUUAUACGGGAAUAAAGUGGGUCACGUGUGGCUUUUUGUAUGUACCGUAUGAAUAAGCAUCGGCUAACUCCGUGCCAGCAGCCGCGGUAAUACGGAGGAUGCGAGCGUUAUCCGGAUUUAUUGGGUUUAAAGGGUGCGUAGGUGGUCUUUUAAGUCAGCGGUGAAAGUUUGUGGCUCAACCAUAAAAUUGCCAUUGAAACUGGGAGACUUGAGUAUGUUUGAGGUAGGCGGAAUGCGUGGUGUAGCGGUGAAAUGCAUAGAUAUCACGCAGAACUCCGAUUGCGAAGGCAGCUUGCCAAGCCAUAACUGACACUGAAGCACGAAAGCGUGGGUAUCAAACAGGAUUAGAAACCCUAGUAGUCC